UGAGGAAUAUUGGUCAAUGGGCGAGAGCCUGAACCAGCCAAGUAGCGUGCAGGAUGACGGCCCUAUGGGUUGUAAACUGCUUUUAUGUGGGGACAAAGUGCGUGACGUGUCAUGCAUUGCAGGUACCACAUGAAUAAGGACCGGCUAAUUCCGUGCCAGCAGCCGCGGUAAUACGGAAGGUCCGGGCGUUAUCCGGAUUUAUUGGGUUUAAAGGGAGCGUAGGCUGUCUAUUAAGCGUGUUGUGAAAUUUACCGGCUCAACCGGUGGCUUGCAGCGCGAACUGGUCGACUUGAGUAUGCAGGAAGUAGGCGGAAUUCAUGGUGUAGCGGUGAAAUGCUUAGAUAUCAUGACGAACUCCGAUUGCGCAGGCAGCUUACUGUAGCAUAACUGACGCUGAUGCUCGAAAGUGCGGGUAUCAAACAGG
This 424-nucleotide ribosomal RNA is filed under the name Fusobacteriota bacterium. RNAcentral's name for it is "Fusobacteria bacterium partial 16S ribosomal RNA". It matches the Rfam family "Bacterial small subunit ribosomal RNA", at positions 355 to 776 of the family's 1533-position model. Lineage: Bacteria; Fusobacteriati; Fusobacteriota. The record is from RNAcentral.